CGUAACUUGCCCCGAGAUGAGUUCUCCCUGACUCCCUGAGAGUCCUGAAGGAACGUUGAAGACGACGACGUUGAUAGGCCGGGUGUGUAAGCGCAGCGAUGCGUUGAGCUAACCGGUACUAAUGAACCGUGAGGCUUAACCUUACAACGCCGAAGCUGUU
This 160-nucleotide ribosomal RNA is filed under the name Escherichia coli. RNAcentral's name for it is "partial 23S ribosomal RNA". The stretch from base 1 to 143 matches the Rfam family "Bacterial large subunit ribosomal RNA", at positions 2788 to 2925 of the family's 2925-position model. The record is from RNAcentral. Lineage: Bacteria; Pseudomonadati; Pseudomonadota; Gammaproteobacteria; Enterobacterales; Enterobacteriaceae.